This is a long non-coding RNA of Solanum pennellii, 378 nucleotides long. RefSeq lists it as uncharacterized. The transcript is spliced from 2 exons. The record is from RefSeq and is a predicted model, not a curated record. Lineage: Eukaryota; Viridiplantae; Streptophyta; Magnoliopsida; Solanales; Solanaceae.
AAGAAGAACAAGUUCAUCCUAGGGAUUCAAGAUUCAAGUUUUCCUCCAUAAUUAUUUAAGAAUUCUCAAGAGAUUCCAAACCAUUUUCAAGGAAGACUUUGAUAAGUUCCCAAGUUGUUGGUGAGUCCUCAAGUCCGAGGACGAUGCCACUAUUCUAGAUUUACUAUUUGACUAUGUCUAAGACGAUGUUCAUUUCUUAUCUUUUGAGACUUUGUUGUAAGUCUAUUACAGGAAAUCAUGUAAUAGUGUAAGGGCUAUGUCCCAAACAUUGUAAUUAUCUUAUAGAUGGUUAUGUGUCAGACAAUAUUAGACUAUGUUGUUAAAUGAGAAGUCUAAGUAAACUUCAAAUAUGGGUAAAUUAGAAGUCUUUGUACUCUU